UUUAGGCAGGGAAAGGAAAUGCACUGUUCUAGGGGUAUUGGAGAAUGGGUUCACUGUGGUUGUGAAACGGGUGACGUUACAGAAGAUGGAUCUUAUGCCGUGGUUGUGAAAUGUCACCAUUUUGAUCCAGGUUAACAAAGUAGGAUAGGCAAAUGCAGAUGUCAGAGUUAGACAGAAAAAAGAGGCGCAUGGAAUGAACACAAUUUUGUUGGGCGAUUCUCAUGAUGAUUUGCUUCUCCACAGUCUAUGUUUCUAACAGGCUAAUUCCCAAAUCCACCAUCUUGCAUAUGCAAUGUAUUGCACCCAAUGGGUGUGAAACGCUUCUUAUGCAUGUCUUUUCCAAGAAUUGUAAAACGAGGAAAGACAUACCAACUACCGAGGGUGACGGAAGUGAGGACUGAGGAGAUUAGGAAGAAUGGUAUCUUCACCAUGCUAGAACAGAAUCCACACAUUUGGCCAAAGCAAGGAACCUAACUGUGGAGGAGUUUGUUCACAUGGAGACCACAACUCUGAUGCAACAAGUGAACAAGACCUUGCUCAUUGCUGUGAACUAGACCUAUGAUCAUGUGAAUGGGGAUACUCUAUAUUAUCUUCUAGAUCAUAUGGGUUUUGGGGAGAGAUGGAAGAGGUGGAUUAAGGCUUGUAUUUCUACUAUUCGCUUCUCCGUGUUGGUAAAUGGUUCCCUGCAGAUUUCUUUGGCAGCUCUGAGGGUUUGAGACAGGGCGACUAAUUGUCACCUCUCUUAUGUCUUCUGGUUAUGGAGGUAAUAAGUCGGAUUAUGAAGAGGGGUUUGCCUUUAGCGAAUUGGUAUUGCAUGUGUCAAAGAAAUGGGGAAACAAUGGAACAUCUUUUAUUUCAUUGUGAAGUUGUUUAUGCUUUGUGGGGGGAGGUGCCCAUUUAUUUGGUAUUCACUUAGUCAUGCCAGGAUCUAUUGGGAGCUUAUUGUUUAGUUGGAGGAAUUGGUUGGGGAAGCAUGGCUUGGUUGUGUGGAACUUGGUGCCAAGUUGUUUAAUGUAGGUAGUUUGGAAGGAAAGGAAUUGCUAUUCGAUUGAGGAUAUUGAAUGCUCUUUGGAUCAAUUAAAUUAGUUAUUUGUUCGAACUCUUUUUGAUUGGUCUAGGGCUUGGGGUUAUUAACAUUGUUCUGAUACUUUUGAGUUUCUAAAUUCACUUAGCCAUAGCAUUUGAUUUAUUUGUAUUUUUAUGAUCCUUUGUGUUCAUCAUCAUGAGCACAAGGUUUUCUUUCUUUAUCAAU
Long non-coding RNA from Quercus lobata, 1252 nucleotides. RefSeq lists it as uncharacterized. The transcript is spliced from 3 exons. The record is from RefSeq and is a predicted model, not a curated record. NCBI's taxonomy places the organism in Eukaryota, Viridiplantae, Streptophyta, Magnoliopsida, Fagales, Fagaceae.